Non-coding RNA from Nicotiana tabacum (common tobacco), 3587 nucleotides. NCBI's taxonomy places the organism in Eukaryota, Viridiplantae, Streptophyta, Magnoliopsida, Solanales, Solanaceae. The record is from RefSeq and is a predicted model, not a curated record.
UCAAAGGAAAAAGUGUCUUCCAUCUAUUCAUUUUUGGCACACACGACAUGGGUCUAGAAACAUCUACACUUCCGACUUCCAUCUCUUCUAUUCCAACCGAUCGGAGGAGUACUCCAGUUCUUCUUCAAACUUUCAAUAAUACUCUUAGCUCUUUUCAUUUUUUUAUCUAUCUGAUAUAUUUCAGGUAUCAUUGUCUCAAUCUUUGCUCACAUCUUCUUUGUUUACUCUUUGUCUUCUUUUCUUUCUUUUCUUCUAUUUAACUGUUCCCAAUUACAUGUAUAAAAUUACCUUGAAUUUUGUGUUUUCCAACCAGACGUUGGGGAAUCACCAUUAUAAAGGUUAUUUUCCGUCCAAGUUCAUUGAUGUUGCCUUCUUCUUGUUGAUUUACCUCUAUCUCCUCCUCCUCCUCCUCCUCUUCUUCUUCUUCUUCUUCUUAAGGUGUUAGACUUUUAUUAUUCUGCUUACUUAAAAAGAAAAUGAAUAUUUAAUUUUGCUCCUAAUGCAUAUUGUUCUUCCUUUUCUUUACUUUUUUUCUUUUUGUAUAUGUUAUAUUUCCAUGUAUUGUUAAUCGCCAGUUUAUUUUCAGGUUCUUGAUAAUUGCCUCUUCACACACUCCUCAUUUUCCAUAGUUGAGGGAAAGAAAAGUAAGAACUCAUGAUAACCCAAUUUUGAUAAAGCACUAAAAUUGAUGAAUGGGUUAGACAUUGACAUAAAGUGGAUGAAUUAAGUCAAAUAGCUAUUGAAAAAAAAAUUGUGCAUGUGAAUUUCUAUUAACAGAUUUUAUUCAUUAUUUCAUGUCUUAGGAAGACUUAAUAUGGUUUAAGAUGAUUUGGGAACUCUUCUUAAAAGUUAUGUUCGAGCAACAUCUUUUUGUUUGAAUUUAAAUUGGUUUAUCUGGCUUGAAAUUUAUGGAAUAGGGAAUGUAUGUUUAAGGGCCUAUAAUGGAUUGCUUUAUAUGUUGACUCAUUGUUGUUGGUGGGAUUUGAAAGUAAAGGAAUGGAGGAGUAGGAAGUAGGACGAUGGAUAUGAAAUGAUGAACAAAUAAGGCAUAUGCUUGGUUUUGAUUUUGUAAGUGUAUUUAAAGGAAGUGGAAGAAAUGGACAUAUUUGCUCGGUUUCAAUAAGUCUAGGGAGGCAAUAAAUAUUGUUCUACGUUUUGUCACUAUUUUUUAAUGUUGGAAUUGUGCUUAUGUGUUUGUGAACUUAUAUCUAUUCUAAACCUUUAUAGUUUUUUAGGGUCGCUGUGGAUGCAAUAUUAGACACGAACAAAACGACUUCAGAAUUCAAAAUGUUGGGCCCUUGGUAGGCAUGGGCAAUACUCAUGUCUUCAAGAAAGUUCCACUUCCUUCCUUCCAUUGAUUUUCUUCAUUCCACACCCAUUUCUUGGCAAAAAUUCUUCCAUGUCUCCUCCCAGCUCUCUCCACCAAAAAACAAUGGAGGCUAAAAGCAUAAAAUUUUUUGAAGUCUGGUUCUCUACUGUUGUCGACGAUGAAUAGAUGGUGGCCAAACAUCAGCUGAAGCACGAUACAGCCACCUUUAUCUGACGUUUUCUAUCCUUAUCUCUCUCAAAUUCUCCGCACAUUUUUUUCGUUCACUGUUCUAUUUUUCUCAGGCAUCCUUUUUGAUUCUGCUUCAAAAUUUUACCCUUUUGUUUUCAGUUUAUCUAAUUGGCUUUAAUUUUGCGGUAUUUCUGAAUUUUGGUAAGUUUUCUCUUCUUUCUUUAGUUGUUAAACUAGCUUCUCUCGUCUCUGUAGUGAAAUUGAGUAGGUAUGUUUUAGUUUUUUACAUUUAUGUUUGAGUGUGUAUUUCAUUUUCACAUGUAUAUUUGGAAAUACAUAUGUAAGUGCAUGUUUGGGUUGCAUAAUUAUAUUUGAUUUUGGGUGAAUUAGAUGGUAUUCAAGGAGUGUAUAGUUCUAUGAAUUAGAUGUUCACAUGUCUGUACAAAUUUUCUCUACAUACAUAUGCAUGUUGCUACAGCGCAGGAAACACUAAGCGUCAUCAAGACAAAAAUAGUACUAGAGUAUAGAAGAACUUUAAUGCAACCAAAAUGUUUGACGGUAUGCCUGAAUAUCUAAGUUCCAGCCCGUCAUCUAUAAAUCCUGAAUUCGAACACAGAAAUAUGAUGAUUUUCUUUUAUUUAUUAACAUUAGUAUGCCAACUGUUGUUUUAUAUGAACCUUCAGUUUAUUGUUGCAUUCCUCUUCAUAACUUUUCAGGCUACAUUUUUGUCUCUGUUAUACAACUAUAGUUUGCCCUCCUUACUUUCUUCAAUUAGAUAAUGCUGCGAGUUACUGAGGAUUUUACUUGAAUUUGGAAUUUUUAAGUUAAAAAUUAAGAUCUUUAUUUAACUUUUGUUGGUCUAACUUCCAUGGCAAUGCUUUGUUGAUCUGACAAAGAUAGUAAUCACCUUUAAUUUGCUCUCUAUGUCCUUCUGAAUACUCAUAUUCAUGACUUUUCUUUUUACACUCUUUUUUUAGUUGGAUAUUGGACUUCACAAAACUCUAUUUUAAAGUGAGUUCCUGUCAAAUGGUUAAUGUUUAGUUCACUUGGUUAUCUUGAUCUUAUCGUAGUUUUAUCCAUCAAAACAGGCCAGUUUAAAAGUUCAAUUGGAUUAAGGAAAGAAGUAAUUCUCAGAGGAAAGAAAUCACUUUUCAUGUUAUGGUAAAAAAUUGCUGGACUUGAUCACCUGAUUUAUCUAAUGCAGCAGAUCCAGGCGCUUCUGGUCACGACGACUACUGAUUGAGGCUUCAGAGUUCAGAAACUAUCGAGUUUUACUGUGAUGAGUUGUUAAGUAGAGGCUGGCCUAGUUUCACGAUAGACGCCAUCACGACGGUUGAUUUUGGGUCGUGACAAAAUCCUUGAGGUACUCUUGCUACCUCAUGAGUUUUUUGUUUCACAACUAUUCUCUAAAGUCCAAGAAAGAUUAUCAAUCAAUGUAGCCUUCAUCGAAUUGAAGACUUUUACCUAGCAAGAGAACUAAUGCAAUGAUUCCAAUGAAGACCGGAAGGCUAAUGAUUAUUGGAAGAUGGAAUUGCAGAAAUAGCUAAAGAGACAGCUACAUGGGUUGCAACUGCUGUAUUUUUUGGUUGACUUAUUCAAGUAUUUUAAUGCUUUGUAUUGGCAAUGUAAGAUUUCAUGAUUCAUGUCAGAGCCUCAAUUGGAGAACCCAAAUGCAGUUGAACGAUAUUCGUGGAAUUCAUAUAGUACAAUUUUGGGUAACUUACACCAUCUGCUUCUGAUUAUGCUAUUUGAAAGCUAGACGAUCGUCAGCUUGAUUGUUCAAAGAGAAGAUGACUACCUCCUCUGCAUGGGAUACACUAAAUAUGUACAGUGUUUUCAUCUGAUGGUCAGUUCAAUGCUUGAAGUUUCACUUUUUGGAAUCAUAUUAAACAUGCUUUAGCUUAACUUCAAUAAUGAAAAGAUACUGGAAAAAUGGCGAGCUGUUAGUAAUAAAUUUCAUAGCUUGCUCAAAUUAUUUCAAUGAAAAGUUUUACCUCCGAGUUGAUUAUAAUGCGGCUAUAAAUCUAUUCCCUGGCCAAAGAUGUGUGUUGUUAAUAAUGAGUAGAGAAUGUAUGUCCAAUUGCUGCAA